Molecule: ribosomal RNA, 123 nt
Filed under: Neomoorella mulderi
Lineage: Bacteria; Bacillati; Bacillota; Clostridia; Neomoorellales; Neomoorellaceae
Description: partial 16S ribosomal RNA
Rfam family: Bacterial small subunit ribosomal RNA
Source: RNAcentral
UUUACGGAGAGUUUGAUCCUGGCUCAGGACGAACGCUGGCGGCGUGCCUAACACAUGCAAGUCGAGGGGCAGCAGGCCAGACCUUUGGUCUGGUGCUGGCGACCGGCGGACGGGUGAGUAACG